Oenanthe melanoleuca is the source of this 1761-nucleotide long non-coding RNA. RefSeq lists it as uncharacterized. Lineage: Eukaryota; Metazoa; Chordata; Aves; Passeriformes; Muscicapidae. The transcript is spliced from 3 exons. The record is from RefSeq and is a predicted model, not a curated record.
GGAGCCCCUUCCCGCCUCUUGCUCAGCUGUGUUUUCACGGACGGGCUGGAAAUCCAGCUGCAGGAGGUUGGGAAGGGCUGACAGCACCAGGUCCCUGUGGGAAAAGUGAAGGAAAAGCCAAAUUUCCUGGAGCUGUGGGAUUGGGAGUGGGUGUCCCUCAUCCUCCUUCAGCCCUGGAUGGGUGAGUGGAGGGGUUUGAAUCCCUGGGGUUUGGAGAGCAGGGAUUAAAAUCCUGGGAGUUUGGAGAGCAGGGAUUGAAUCACUCAGGUUUGGGGAGCAGGGAUUGAAUCACUCAGGUUUGGAGAGCAGGGAUUCAAUUUCCUGGAGUUUGGAGAGCAGGGAUUCAAUCCCUGGGGUUUGGAGAGCAGGGAUUCAAUCUCUGGGGUUUGGAGAGCAGGGAUUGAAUCACUCAGGUUUGGGAAGCAGGGAUUGAAUCACUCAGGUUUGGAGAGCAGGGAUUCAAUCCCUGGGGUUUGGAGAGCAGGGAUUUAAAUCCCUGGAGUUUGGAGAGUAGGGAUUCACAUCCCUGGGGUUUGUAGAGUAGAGAUUCAAUCUCUGAGGUUUGGAGAGCAGGGAUUCAAAUCCCUGGGGUUUGGAGAGCAGGGAUUCAAAUCCCUGGAGUUUGGAGAGAGGGGAUUCAAAUCCCUGGAGUUUGGAGAGCAGGGAUUUAGAUCUCUGGAGUUUGGGGAGCAGGGAUUCAAUCCCUGAGGUUUGGAGAGCAGGGAUUCAAAUCCCUGGAGUUUGGGGAGCAGGGAUUCAAUCUCUGGGGUUUGGGGAGCAGGAAUUGAAUUCCUGAGGUUUGGGGAGCAGGGAUUCAAUCUCUGAGGUUUGGAGAGCAGGGAUUCAAAUCCCUGGAGUUUGGAGAGCAGGGAUUCAAAUCCCUGGAGUUUGGAGAGAGGGGAUUCAAAUCCCUGGAGUUUGGAGAGCAGGGAUUUAGAUCUCUGGAGUUUGGGGAGCAGGGAUUCAAUCCCUGAGGUUUGGAGAGCAGGGAUUCAAAUCCCUGGAGUUUGGGGAGCAGGGAUUCAAAUCCCUGGAGUUUGGAGAGAGGGGAUUCAAAUCCCUGAGGUUUGGAGAGCAGGGAUUUAGAUCUCUGGAGUUUGGGGAGCAGGGAUUUAAAUCCCUGGGAUUUGGAGAGCGGGGAUUUAGAUCUUUGGGAUUUGGAGAGCAGGGAUUCAGUCCCUGGGGUUUGGUGGGCCAGGCUGUUUGACAUUUCAUGGACUGGUUUGGGUGGGAAGGGACCUUAAAUCCCACCCAGCUCCAUCCAGGGACACAUUCCACUAUCCCAGCACACUCCAAACUGUCCUGGGACACUUCCAGGGAUCCAGGAGCAGCCACAGCUUCUCUGGAAAUUCCAUCCCACCCCCUCCCCUCCCUCCCACCCAGGAAUUCCUUCCCAAAAUCCCACCUGGCAAUGUGAAUCCAUUCCCCCCUUUCCUGUCCAUCCAUCCCUUGCCCAAAAUCCCUUUCCCAGCUCUCUUGGGAGGCACUAAAAGGGCACAGGGGGGUCACCCCGAGGCUUCUCCCAAUUUCUGGGGGGUUUUUCUCCCUCUCCUGCCUCUCCUGACCCACCUGUACCCAUCCUGCUGGGUGCACUGGUUCCCAGUCAGGUCGAGGAUCUGGAGGCUCUGGGGCAGCUCCUCUGUGGGAUGAAGGGAGGCACAGAGGGGCUGAGCUGGGAGCUGAGCCCCUCCAGCCACAAUUCCCAAAAUUCCCACUCCCCCCAAACUCCCACAGCUCUUCCCUCACACCCAGGGAAACUGA